AGUGUGUGGAUGUGUAUGUGUGUGCAUGUGUCAGCGUGUAUAUGUGCAUAAGCAUGUGCAGUUGGGGGCUUCCUUAAGGAUCUCUAGGGAGUGAGAGUUCUCCGUCUACCUGGUUUAAUCCUAUUCUGGAAAACACUCUUUUUUUGAAACCACGGGAACAUCUCUUCAGGCUCCUCCCACUGCAGUUGAAGCAUCUGUCGGGAGUUUGUCUUUCCAGAGCUGCAAAGGCUCCUUGCCUCCAGAGCGUCACCCCGCAGUCACUGCUCCCUGGACCUGCAGUGUCUCUGCUCCCCAGCCUGCCCUCCCCUUUCUCUCAUUCCUGGAGCCUUUCCUGGCACCACAGAUGGUGUAUCUUGCCCUUCCCUCCAUUAGCUUCUUCCCUCUGUCUAGCCCAUCUAGCCCCAAGAGGCAGCUGCUUCUUGGCAUCACACAGAACACCUAGGCUGGCACCACGCAGCUGUUAUUGCAAAUUAAUAUUGGGUGAUUAUUAAGAACACAAUUAAUAAUAACAAUUAUAGUUUGACAACAGAGCAAACCAUAGCUCCCUGAGAGCUUAAGGAGCUUCCCAACAAACCAUUAUGAGUUAUUCAUGAGUCGUUUCAAUUUCUAACUUUAAUUUAAUGACCAGACUUAAUAGUCAGGCCGGCCCCUGCCUGCAGCAAAUGAAUUCAGUUCCAGAAGUGUGUCCAGUCCCCGAGUUCCUUCCACCCUGCUGAGGUGAGGGGGCCAGGUGGUGGGCGCAGCGGGAGGCCAGGGCCCCUCACCAGGGGCACCACGGAGGGUGGAAGCCCCACCUGCCUGGCGCCGAAUCAUCAGCAGAACUGCUGCUGGCUCUGGGCGCCGAGUUUCCCCUCCUGCCCUGUCCUCUCCUCUCAGGGUGAGCGAGUGGGAGAAGAAAGGCUUGGAACGCUGUGGGGGCUGGGUCCUCAGGAGCCCAAGCCAGGCCUUUUGGGGAGGUGCCUCUGGACCCCACAGAGUGCCUGGCUUACAUCUCUCCCAGCUGGUCUUUCUUCCCCUCCUGCACUGAAAAACACUUGAGGGGUCCCUGCCAAAAACACAGAGGCUCAAACCACUGCAUCCAAGCGGCUGCCGACGGAUCGAGGCCAAGAGCCAAAGAGCGAGUCCCUCCGCGCCCCUCGGCGCCUCUCCGUGCCUCUCCUGAUUUUGGUGCGGUUUCUUCUUCCCUGUCCUUCCUCUUCGUGUCCUUCCCUCUCCCCACCCACCUCCCCCUGACGCACUGUUGCUUCCCCACCUCUCCCAACCCCUCUGAAAAUGCAGUCAGCUUAAGCCUCUCCCAAUCAAUGUCUAAUUUGGACUGAACAAAUGUAAGAGGAUUAAUUAUAUCACAGAAUCAGGGGCCCAGCGUGUCACAGCCACCAGGUUGUCCUCAAAUAAGCCAAGUUUCCUCUCGGGUGGGGGUGCCAUGUCCUGCUACCUGCUGGGAACACAGAGAGACCCUCAGAGGAAAGGGCCCCAAAGCACUUUGGGCUGCUGGUCCCUAGGAUCACCUGCAGUGAUACCCCCAUGUCACCCAGGCCUCCUUUCCGGGUGCUGGGAUGGAAGAGGGCGUUAUUGCUAGUUUCAAAGAUGACAGCCUCUUAGCGAGAGCAGAGAGGAAGCUCUCAAGAUGAAUGGAAGCAAAGAAACAAAGAUUCCUGUAAUCUUGUCAGUUAGUUGGGAAAAAUCAAUGUACUUAUGUGAUGAGAUUUGCUUACGCUUUUCUUCUUGGAUCCCAGCAUUGCAUCUGAACACCUGGCUGCUUGGUGGGACCCCGCUGGAGUGAAGGGGCUGAGUGAGUGUGGGUGGGUGCAGGCGCACACUGCCUCCCAUCGCCGUGGCCCCUCUGCCUCCUCCCUUCCCAGGCCACCCCAGCUCUCUCUCAUUAACCGGGGGGCUGGAAGCGCUCCCUGAAAGCCCCUGGAGUCCUGGAGGGAGAUGGCCCUGCAGUGAGGUGUUUUCAGGACCUUUUGCUAAUCAGAAGGCCAAGAGGGAAGGUGACCAGUAAGAACCAGUGAGUCUCUGCAGGGCGCCCUGCCCUCCCAGCUCCUGCUAGGCACAGGAGGGGCUGACUGUGAUACUGUGAGCUCCAGGGGAGGAUGAAAGGGGAGGACCCACAGUCCACCUGUAGCCUAGGGAAGGCUGCAUGUUUAUUUAUGAACUUUUUAGCUUGCAAAAACCAACUUUGGAAUUACAGAAAAGUUGCAAGAAUAGUCCCAUGAACUGCCGCCCUCCCGUCGCUUGGAUUUACCCGUUAUUAACAUUUUCUCACACGUGCUUUGCGGUGACCUCUCCUCUCCUCACACCUUCUUCUCCCCCCGUCACUGCUGUUCUGCUUUUUUGAGGUUGAUGACCCUGGGAAUCAGGCCCAGCACUUGGUUUCCUGGGGGUUUGCUCAACCUGUCCAGGUCAGUAGGCUGGUGUGGGUGGGGGAGACAGGCCUGGGGGGGGAGGGGCCAGGUCCCGGGGCAUGCAGCCCUUUGUCUGCCCAGCCCACCCAUCACUAGGACCCCAGGUGACCGGAGCCUGGCAGUGAGGGGAAAUGAAAGGUGAAAGUUGAGUGCCCAGCUCUCUGGGGUCCAACAGGCAUUCUAAGGGCAGCUGUGAGGGCGAAUAGGGGUGCUUGCCGGGUGGUCUGUGGGUGUGAAGGGCUGCUCUGCAGGUAUUUUUGGGCAUGUUGUACCUGGUGUUCAGGGACCAGGAUCAGAGACCUGGGAGCAGACAGAAGAGAGAAGCUGAACUUGUAUGGAGAAACCCAGGCCUGACAGGUGCAACGUGGAGGCCCAGGGGCAGGAGUCUCAUCGGGCUCCUCUCCUGCAUCUUCAGUGGCUUUUGAAUAGAUGCCAGACCCCAGCCAAACCAGACUUCCCCCUGGACCUAGGUGGACCCCAUGAUUCCAGGGAGUCCAGAGUCCUGGGCUGAGAAGGCACCCUGGAGGUCCUCUGAUCUUUCUUCUGACUCUAGUCCAGCAAAUGGUUCAAUUGGACAGGACCGAUGGGUUUAUCCUAUUUUAAUAUAUCCUUGGGGAUAGGACCUCUGUGCUCUGCCUGGGUUUCUGACUCCAGUGCUGCUUAACUAUGCACUCUGCAGGGAGCUCCUCCUCAUGCCCAGCCUGAAUUGCUGGCUGUCACUGUGGCCCAUUUCCUUCCAUUCUGCCCGCCGGGGCCACACUGCCUCUUGUCUUCCCUGUUCUCCACUCCCCCAGGCCGGCUGAUUUCCUAGGCUGGGGCCAUUAGCAUCCUUGGCCCCUGCAGAUGCUGUAGCUUCAUGACCCAGAUCCGUGGCAGAGGUGACACCGUGGGCUCCACCUCCAAGCCUGGGCUGGUGGAAAGAGGCCGGGCUGAGUCAGGGCCAUGGUGAGUUCCACGAGGCAUCUAAAAGGAGGUGAGUCUGCCCUUGAGUGCCUCCAAGGUUGCUUAGUCUCGUGGAGUCUUGUGCAGUGACUGUGCCCAGGCAGAAAAGUGCCCAGAGGAGCAGCCCUGUGUGUUCAUUGGAUCAGCCAGACACACUUAAGGAGUAUCUGGUUUAUGCCAUGUGCUGUGCUACACGCUGAGAGCCAUCAACGACUAAAUUGCAGUUCCUGCCUUUAAGAAGCUCUGCCACGAGGCAGAAACAAGUAAAAAAAAACAGUGACGCUUUUAUCCAUGUGGCAAGCAAGAGACACACAGGGCCCAAGACUGUGUGUGAUCUUGGAUGCUCACUGGACCAGCCUGGGGCCCAGACAUCCUGACCUAGCAGCUGAACCUGUGUGGUGGGCGCGAGGCUAUGAUGCAGGUUCUGAUCUUGCUGCUUCUCCUGGUUGUUCUGACUGUUUUCCCUGAGCCUUUUUUUCCUGUGUUUGGCGUGUGGGAUAAGCAGGCUAUUCAAGCAGAAGGCGUGAGUCCUGCUGCCUCCAGUGGAAGAGGGCGCGUGCACACACAAAGGAGGGGAAGGGCCCACCCGGCCAGCAGGCAGUGGGCUCGAGGGGAAGGGGAGAAGGCUACU
Sapajus apella (tufted capuchin) is the source of this 3981-nucleotide long non-coding RNA. RefSeq lists it as uncharacterized. The record is from RefSeq and is a predicted model, not a curated record. Lineage: Eukaryota; Metazoa; Chordata; Mammalia; Primates; Cebidae. The transcript is spliced from 2 exons.